Drosophila miranda is the source of this 654-nucleotide long non-coding RNA. RefSeq lists it as uncharacterized. The transcript has 2 exons. Lineage: Eukaryota; Metazoa; Arthropoda; Insecta; Diptera; Drosophilidae. The record is from RefSeq and is a predicted model, not a curated record.
GUUCGGAUAAACAAUGUCCGUCAUCCUCACCCACUGAAGCCGGACAGGACGGAAAUCGGCAGGCGCUGAUCUGAAACCCAAAAGCGUGUACUCGCGACCCUCAAUGUACAAAUAGCAGUGCCAAAUCGGAGGGUGCCAUUGCCACAGCCACACUCAUACGCUCUCGCGUACACGUACACGUACUCCACUCACACUCGCACGUUUGCAGUGUUUUCCUCGUUUCGACAAACAAAACAAAAAAUAUUUAAAUUCUGUGUUUUCAUAAUGCUUUUUGUACUAAUCGGGGACGGGCAAAAUGGCAGAGGAAAAUUUCUGAUGUGCAAUCUUACUUUUCUUCACAACGGGCAGCGGCGGUACAAUUCUUUGCCAAUUUUCAGCCGCUUCUUUUUGGUGCACACAAACGAAAUCACUGCAAAUAACUUUGGAAUGGACGUUUAUUUACACAUGUUCCAACGUCUUGGUUAUUUUGAGCGGCGCGUAUGUUGUUAAAAAAGAAAAACUUUUGCAGGGCAUUUAUGCAGAGUCGCACGCCAUCAUGACCGCGGAUUUACGAACUUAACCCACUUAACCCCCCUCUAUUUAAACAGUUUAACGACUUGAGGUAAAUGGCGAAAAAUAUGGUAAGUUCUUUUUGUAGAUCCAUGCCAACUUUUC